This 242-nucleotide ribosomal RNA is filed under the name uncultured bacterium. Its description in RNAcentral is "partial 16S ribosomal RNA". It matches the Rfam family "Bacterial small subunit ribosomal RNA", at positions 529 to 770 of the family's 1533-position model. The record is from RNAcentral.
AGGUGGCAAGCGUUGUCCGGAAUUACUGGGUGUAAAGGGAGCGUAGGCGGGGUAUCAAGUCAGAAGUGAAAAUUAUGGGCUCAACCUGUGGCCUGCAUUUGAAACUGUUUUUCUUGAGUACUGGAGAGGCAGACGGAAUUCCUAGUGUAGCGGUGAAAUGCGUAGAUAUUAGGAGGAACACCAGUGGCGAAGGCGGUCUGCUGGACAGCAACUGACGCUGAGGCGCGAAAGCGUGGGGAGCA